This 1080-nucleotide ribosomal RNA is filed under the name uncultured bacterium. Its description in RNAcentral is "bacterial SSU rRNA". It matches the Rfam family "Bacterial small subunit ribosomal RNA", at positions 505 to 1501 of the family's 1533-position model. The record is from RNAcentral.
GUGCCAGCAGCCGCGGUAAUACGUAGGGGGCGAGCGUUGUCCGGAAUUACUGGGCGUAAAGGGCGAGUAGGCGGUUAUGUAAGUCAGAUGUGAAAUACCGGGGCUUAACCCCGGGGCUGCAUUUGAAACUGCAUAGCUUGAGUGCAGGAGAGGAAAGUGGAAUUCCCAGUGUAGCGGUGAUAUGCGUAGAUAUUGGGAGGAACACCAGUGGCGAAGGCGACUUUCUGGACUGUAACUGACGCUGAGGCGCGAAAGCGUGGGGAGCAAACAGGAUUAGAUACCCUGGUAGUCCACGCCGUAAACGAUGAGUGCGGUGUAGGGGGUAUCGACCCCUCCUGUGCCGCAGUUAACACAAUAAGCACUCCGCCUGGGGAGUACGGUCGCAAGACUGAAACUCAAAGGAAUUGACGGGGGCCCGCACAAGCAGCGGAGCAUGUGGUUUAAUUCGACGCAACGCGAAGAACCUUACCAGGGCUUGACAUCCCUCGCUACCGGCGGAAACGUCGGGUUCCCUUUUGGGACGAGGAGACAGGUGGUGCACGGUUGUCGUCAGCUCGUGUCGUGAGAUGUUGGGUUAAGUCCCGCAACGAGCGCAACCCUUGUCCUUAGUUGCCAACGUAAAGUCGUGCACUCUAGGGAGACUGCCGGAGACAAUUCGGAGGAAGGUGGGGAUGACGUCAAAUCAUCAUGCCCCUUAUGUCCUGGGCUACACACGUGCUACAAUGGGCUGUACAAAGGGUAGCGAAGCCGCGAGGUGGAGCCAAUCCCAUAAAACAGCUCUCAGUUCAGAUCGCAGGCUGCAACUCGCCUGCGUGAAGAUGGAGUUGCUAGUAAUCGCGGAUCAGCAUGCCGCGGUGAAUGCGUUCCCGGGCCUUGUACACACCGCCCGUCACACCACGAGAGUUGACAACACCCGACGUCGGUGAGCCAACCCGGCACUCAGCUGGGGGCAUUAGACCAGGUUGUUCAGGUAAUGUAACUUAUCUGGCCAAUCAAACCUCUAGUGUUCUGAGCUGAGUGCCGGGAGGCAUCCGCCUAAGGUGGGGUUGAUGAUUGGGGUGAAGUCGUAACAAGGUAACC